UACGGCCGUAUAACUUCUAAAUACCGGUUCCUGUACGAUCACCGAAUAUAAGCAACGUCGAGCCUGUUCAGUACCUAGAUGCGUGACCACUUGGGAAUACCAGGUGCUGUAAG
Acanthosepion pharaonis is the source of this 113-nucleotide non-coding RNA. The record is from the annotation of a GenBank genome assembly. Lineage: Eukaryota; Metazoa; Mollusca; Cephalopoda; Sepiida; Sepiidae.